CCUACGGGAGGCAGCAGUGAGGAAUAUUGGUCAAUGGGCGCGAGCCUGAACCAGCCAAGUCGCGUGAGGGAUGACGGUCCUACGGAUUGUAAACCUCUUUUGCCGGGGAGCAAGCGUGCGUCCGUGAACGCCCUUCCAUAGUCCCCGGAGAUAAAGCAUCGGCUAAUUCCUUGCCAGCAGCCGCGGUAAUCCGGAGGAUGCGAGCGUUAUCCGGAUUUAUUGGGUUUAAAGGGUCCUUAGGCGGGAUGCCAAGUCAGCGGUAAAAUUGAGAGGCUCAACCUCUUCGAGCCGUUGAAACUGGUGUGCUUGAGUGAGCGGGAAGUAGGCGGAAUGCGUGGUGUAGCGGUGAAAUGCAUAGAUAGCACGCAGAACUCCGAUUGCGAAGGCAGCAUGCCGGAGCGGAACUGACGCUCAUGCACGAAAGUGUGGGUAUCGAACAGGAUUAGAUACCCCUGUAGUC
Molecule: ribosomal RNA, 460 nt
Filed under: uncultured bacterium
Lineage: Bacteria
Description: partial 16S ribosomal RNA
Rfam family: Bacterial small subunit ribosomal RNA
Source: RNAcentral